CCUACGGGAGUCAGCAGUGGGGACUAUUGCACACUGGGGGAAACCCUGAUGCAGCGACGCCGCGUUAGUGAAGAAGUAUCUCGGUACGUUAAGCCCUAUCAGCAGGGAAGAAAAUGACGGUACCUGUAUAAGAAUCCCCGGCUAACUACGUGCCAGCAGCCGCGGUAAUACGUAGGGGGCAGGCGUUAUCCGGAUUUACUGGGUGUAAAGGGAGUGUAGACGGCAGCACAAGUCUGGAGUGAAAUCCCGGGGCUUAACACCGGAACUGCUUUGGAAACUGUGCGGCUGGAGUGCAGGAGGGGGAGGCGGAAUUCCUAGUGUAGCGGUGAAAUGCGUAGAUAUUAGGAGGAACACCGGUGGCGAAGGCGGCUUGCUGGACUGUAACUGACGUUGAGGCUCGAAAGCGUGGGGAGCAAACAGGAUUAGAUACCCUAGUAGUC
Molecule: ribosomal RNA, 440 nt
Filed under: uncultured bacterium
Lineage: Bacteria
Description: partial 16S ribosomal RNA
Rfam family: Bacterial small subunit ribosomal RNA
Source: RNAcentral